This 254-nucleotide ribosomal RNA is filed under the name uncultured bacterium. RNAcentral describes it as "partial 16S ribosomal RNA". It matches the Rfam family "Bacterial small subunit ribosomal RNA", at positions 524 to 776 of the family's 1533-position model. The record is from RNAcentral.
UACGGGGGGAGCAAGCGUUGUUCGGAUUUACUGGGCGUAAAGGGCGCGUAGGCGGUCAGCACAAGUCAGUUGUGAAAUCUCCGAGCUUAACUCGGAAAGGUCAACUGAUACUGUGCGACUAGAGUGCAGAAGGGGCAACUGGAAUUCUCGGUGUAGCGGUGAAAUGCGUAGAUAUCGAGAGGAACACCUGCGGCGAAGGCGGGUUGCUGGGCUGACACUGAUGCUGAGGCGCGAAAGCUAGGGGAGCGAACGGG